Long non-coding RNA from Diachasmimorpha longicaudata, 1675 nucleotides. RefSeq lists it as uncharacterized. The record is from RefSeq and is a predicted model, not a curated record. Lineage: Eukaryota; Metazoa; Arthropoda; Insecta; Hymenoptera; Braconidae. The transcript has 3 exons.
UCGUUCGGUAGCAGAAAUGAGAGGAAUAAAAGAGGGUCGAAAAUUGGGAGAGUCCGAUAGUUAUCAAGGCAGUAGUGUUGUAGGUCGCGACUGCGCAUUUUCAGUCCGGGAAAAUGUCGAUCUUGCUGCUGGUACUGAAAACCAAAAUGAAGCAUGGGUCCUGGCGUCGUGAGGAUGACGGAUGUAAAAAUGUAUUAUGACAUCUGUGAAUUUGCACCAUCAACUACAUCUAAAAGGGUACUACGAGUAAUCCCAGCGGGAGAGAGAGAGAGCAUCUAAAAGUUUGACGUACAAACUGCUGGAACAAAAGGGAAAAUGAGAGGACACAAAGGAAAAAUCUAGGAUUCAUACAUAAUGAGUUGCGCACGUGCACCAAGUAUUCCUAGUACGUACAAUCCACGAACGGGCGUGACUGUAAUUUCAAGUGUGAACUCGAAAAUUAAACAUAGUAACUCUCUCAUAUAUGGAGCGGAUAUAUACUACGACAAAAUUCCAGUUUUCUUCGUCGAUAAAUGUAGAAAAAUAUCCAAGUCUGUAGCAUUAAACUAAUUACUCACAAAAAAAUAUUGAUAUGUGAUGAAAUUUUACUACUGUAAUACUCAGUAACGUUUUUACCACCAUUUUCUCCCAAAUGACCCAAUUGGUCCAAUCGAAUGAUUUUAUUGAUAGAGAAAAAUAUCUAUUGAAGUAAAAUCAUGAGACUCCUCUAAGCCCUAUUGUUGGUUUUUCGAGAUUAAAAAAAAAAUUCCUUCUUAUUACAUAAUUAUUCCGUAUUUUUCAUUUUUCAAACAUCAGCUGUUUGGAGUUACAAAAAAUUAAGAACCACAUUUGUAUUUGCUAUUAUCAACAUUGAGUUGAAUAACAGUCAAUUGAAAAAUAGUCUAAGCAGACGUAAUUCAGGUCUUCAUGAAGAGGGUGAAACAAACUUUGACUUUUUAAAACAGUUUCUUGAAAUAUUGGUAAGCUGAGGGUUCUGGUCCUAAUGAAAAAAAGCGAUGAAUUACAUCAACUUUUUUGAACAUUUUGACACGCCACUGUCAUCAAAUAUUUUCAAGGAGAAUUCUAAAAGAUGAUGAGAAAGAUUUGUUGGAAGAUGAAUUACUCAGCAACUCAUUGGCUGAAAUCUUUGUCGCAUUUGCAAGCCCUCCUUGCUAACGAGAGUACUUAAUUUUCUCGUUCUUUCAGGAAAAGGGGUGAGCGCCUGUCGCUGACGAGAGAUUAUAAAAAUGUUUACGUGAAUGUAAAUACCACAUUAUUUAACUGGAAUGGGUUUUUACAUGUGUUUAGCAUAGCACAGUAACUACUUGUGCAUUUACGCUUCUAAUGGAGUUUAACAAAAUGGAAAUUCAACGAGCAUAAUUUAUAUAGUCGUUUGCUCAAUGCAGAGGUUACCACUAUAUCCUAUACAACCAUUUCUGCAUGCGUGGGCGCAUGUGUGUGUAUAGCUGUUGUGAAGAGACCCGUCUUCCUCUGACUCUCUAAGUUCUUCUUCCUCCUGACCCCUUUGUUGUAAGUUGCUGGGGUCUUGUGCCUUAAUGCACAAAUGAUUCUGCUAUAGGAGUACGCUCAUUAUGAAUCGCUAUGGAACUUCCAUACCAACUUUUCGCUCGUAAAAGAUUCCACUACUAUUCCUCGCUCUUUUUCACGAGAGCCCGUGCGGCCUACGAUCGAUACU